This 584-nucleotide long non-coding RNA is filed under the name Anas platyrhynchos platyrhynchos (common mallard). Its description in RNAcentral is "lncRNA (ENSAPLG00000029326.1)". The record is from RNAcentral. Lineage: Eukaryota; Metazoa; Chordata; Aves; Anseriformes; Anatidae.
GCCCCAGCAAACUACCUUCUGCACUGAUGGAGGCCGUGAGAAGUAACCACCGACAGCAAGUUUACUGCAUCUGAGGUGAAAUGAGGUCAGCUUUUGCAGAGAAACUAGGCUGUCACAGCCAAGGACCUGACCAUUAUCUUUUUAUUUCACAUUUUUACAUCUCCCAGACUGUAGCUCACAGGCAAGCUGAACCAAUACAUCAGAACGAGACAGAACGCGUGUGCCUAUGGAUGUAUUGGAAAACAGAAGAGAGGGGCUUUUACCUAUUCCCACCUUUUCAGAGCUGUAACUUUAAGACACAUCAACCCUGUGGUGGUUUACAAAACAUGGAAGAGAAGGCAAACUUAAAACCUGCCCUUCCAGCAGACCUGAAGACUGAACCAUGGACUGAAGCAUGGACAAUGCUUUAUUCCACCAAGGCAUUUAUGCCUUGGUUUCCAUCACCCCAGAAAAACUUCCAAUGCCAAAUUGAGAGGACACUCCAAAUCCUUCACUCUGAAUUUAUGCUUCUGACCAGAAGAAGAGUGAAGUUUCACUGGUUCACCCAGACUACAGUGUUGUCCAGCCACUCUUUUGGAAGGUGA